GAAAUAUCUAAUGUAAGCUUCUAACUUACUAAUAGCAUAAAUUUGUUAAUAUUUCU
This 56-nucleotide transfer RNA is filed under the name Lymexylon navale. RNAcentral describes it as "tRNA-Ser". Lineage: Eukaryota; Metazoa; Arthropoda; Insecta; Coleoptera; Lymexylidae. The record is from RNAcentral.